RNAcentral lists this long non-coding RNA (845 nucleotides) under Cricetulus griseus (Chinese hamster). Its description in RNAcentral is "lncRNA (ENSCGRG00015037296.1)". Lineage: Eukaryota; Metazoa; Chordata; Mammalia; Rodentia; Cricetidae. The record is from RNAcentral.
AGGCUAACUUGAGCUCCUGAGAGCUCUCUGCCUCUUGCUUCCCAAGCGCUACAAUGACAGAUGCACACCCACCAGCAGAGGCGACCCUGGGAAUUACAAGUUGACUUCGUCGAGGAUCUGCUAAGCUGGUUUAGGAAAGACUGUUAUGCAUAGUGCAAUUUAGCUAAAUGAGCGCUCCAAGCCAAGCACAGAAGGGAGUGAAGAAAGUGUUCACUUUCUUUAGUUCUCUGGUGCUGCAGCACAUUGGGUGUGAGCGCGCGUGGUGCCACGCUGGCUGGCCCGGGCACACUUCCAUCACAUGCAUUCUGUGUGGCAUGAGGACGCUGCAUCUGAGAGAGGCUGGCCCUCCAGACAGUCUGCAACCUUCCAACCCUAAGAUGAACUGAGAGGAGGAGCCAAGGGCAGCCAGGGAGGACUUCCUGCUUGUCUGUGAUUCUCUGAUGAUCUUGAACACACAUACCUCAUACCGAAAAUGGACCAUCAUCACUUAUUGUGUCCUCUACUCUUUUUGCUCUUAUUGGUCCUAUUUCCCGAUUUAUUUUUACUUUUCCAAUUGACCAGUUCUUUGAUUCCCUUUUGUUACAGGCCUGAUGUCUGACCCAGUGACUAACAGCAUUAGGUUUGUAUUGACAUGCUAUGUACAUUUCUGUCACUUGCUCUUUCGAUAAGUUUUUUUGGUUAGCCCCUUAUACAGGGAUAAAGCAGCAACCUACACUCUUGCCACUUGCGAGAUGGCUCAGUGGUUAGAGUACUAGCUGCUCUUGUAGAGGUCCCAGGUUCAAUUCCCAGUACAUGGUGACUCACAACCAUCUGUAACUUCAGUCCCAGGGAAUCCAACACCCUCU